Molecule: ribosomal RNA, 492 nt
Filed under: uncultured bacterium
Lineage: Bacteria
Description: partial 16S ribosomal RNA
Rfam family: Bacterial small subunit ribosomal RNA
Source: RNAcentral
AGUGAACGCUGGCGGUAGGCCUAACACAUGCAAGUCGAACGGCAGCACAGUAAGAGCUUGCUCUUACGGGUGGCGAGUGGCGGACGGGUGAGGAAUACAUCGGAAUCUACUUUUUCGUGGGGGAUAACGUAGGGAAACUUACGCUAAUACCGCAUACGACCUACGGGUGAAAGCAGGGGAUCUUCUGACCUUGCGCGAUUGAAUGAGCCGAUGUCGGGUUAGCUAGUUGGCGGGGUAAAGGCCCACCAAGGCGACGAUCCGUAGCUGGUCUGAGAGGAUGAUCAGCCACACUGGAACUGAGACACGGUCCAGACUCCUGCGGGAGGCAGCAGUGGAGAAUAUUGGACAAUGGGCGCAAGCCUGAUCCAGCCAUACCGCGUGGGUGAAGAAGGCCUUCGGGUUGUAAAGCCCUUUUGUUGGGAAAGAAAAGCAGCAGGUUAAUACCCCGCUGUUCUGACGGUACCCAAAGAAUAAGCACCGGCUAACUUCGUG